The sequence is a ribozyme, 307 nucleotides long. It matches the Rfam family "Nuclear RNase P". Rfam says of the family: Ribonuclease P (RNase P) is a ubiquitous endoribonuclease, found in archaea, bacteria and eukarya as well as chloroplasts and mitochondria. Its best characterised activity is the generation of mature 5'-ends of tRNAs by cleaving the 5'-leader elements of precursor-tRNAs. The record is from Ensembl.
GUGGAAGGAAGCUUACUGAAGAGGUUACCAACUGGGUGUUAAUCACUCUGUCUCUUACUUUGGGGAAGGUCUGAGACAAGAGCCAAUCACUGCCCUUACAGGGUGUCACCUGAUGCAGGUGAGUGAGUACCCAGAGAAUGUGGGCUUGAGUGUAGUAUCUUCAUAAGAGAAAUCGGUUGGUGCAGUUAAACAGCACAGCUGAUGGAUAUGAUCUCACUAGCUUGGAAAUGCUCAUGGCUGGCAGCAGAGUUCAAUGUGUGAGCUGGAGUUCAACUCCAGAACCCAAUUCAGACUACUCUCCUUCCAC